AUGAACGCUGGCGGCGUGCCUAAUACAUGCAAGUCGAGCGAACAGAUGAGGAGCUUGCUCCUCUGACGUUAGCGGCGGACGGGUGAGUAACACGUGGAUAACCUACCUAUAAGACUGGGAUAACUUCGGGAAACCGGAGCUAAUACCGGAUAAUAUAUUGAACCGCAUGGUUCAAUAGUGAACGACGGUUUUGCUGUCACUUAUAGAUGGAUCCGCGCCGCAUUAGCUAGUUGGUAAGGUAACGGCUUACCAAGGCAACGAUGCGUAGCCGACCUGAGAGGGUGAUCGGCCACACUGGAACUGAGACACGGUCCAGACUCCUACGGGAGGCAGCAGUAGGGAAUCUUCCGCAAUGGGCGAAAGCUUGACGGAGCAACGCCGCGUGAGUGAUGAAGGUCUUCGGAUCGUAAAACUCUGUUAUUAGGGAAGAACAAAUGUGUAAGUAACUAUGCACGUCUUGACGGUACCUAAUCAGAAAGCCACGGCUAACUACGUG
RNAcentral lists this ribosomal RNA (496 nucleotides) under uncultured bacterium. RNAcentral describes it as "partial 16S ribosomal RNA". It matches the Rfam family "Bacterial small subunit ribosomal RNA", at positions 29 to 507 of the family's 1533-position model. The record is from RNAcentral.